Long non-coding RNA from Dromaius novaehollandiae (emu), 878 nucleotides. RefSeq lists it as uncharacterized. The record is from RefSeq and is a predicted model, not a curated record. The transcript has 2 exons. Lineage: Eukaryota; Metazoa; Chordata; Aves; Casuariiformes; Dromaiidae.
CCCCGCCGCGGGGCUCCACAGGAGCGCGGCAGCGCGAGCAGGGGGGCCGCGGGACGGGACACGACGGGACGCGACGGGACAGGGCACGCCGGCAGCCGUCAGGAGGGCAGAGAGAGAGUUUCCAAUCGCUGCAGACCCCGCUGGGAGCCCAGGUCCUCGCUGGCACCUACCAAAGCUGCCAGGAAAGGACGGCGGCUCAGCAUCACGGUUUGACUCCAGCGAGACGCAGGACUGCUGCCCCCUCGACUCUCUGCCUUUGGAGGUGCCGGCAAGAAGCAGCCAGAGGCCAGCGCGCCUGCGCCGGGGACCCCGCGAGCUGCGAGAUUUCCAAGAACUGCAUUUUGAACACGCACUUGCCUCACGUGCACACUUAGCGCUGACUGCUCCAGGUGCUUUCCGGCCAGCUCUCCCUGAGGAGCUCCAGCAGGGCAGCGACCCCGCUGGCACGCGCCGGACAGCAUACUGUCUGCCUGACGUCCCCACGCACCGUCCCUGGCCGAGACCAGAAAUGCUGCUGAGCCUCUGGACCAGACUUGAACAUGUUCCUAAACGUCUAGUGGGACCUUGCAAACUGGCUGAGUGCUACUAAUCUUUUCUUUUAGGCAGCUGUUUCAGGAGGGUGCCAUAAUACCACUGCCUGCACCACAGCUGAGAGAGCUGCCACUGGAUCUAGUACGAGUAGGAAGAAAGACUGUCAGGUGGUUAAAGGAAUCAGGAGAUCAGGCUUCUCCUCCCAACUCUGCUUCUGAGUCAUUAUUAGCAUAAAAUCAGGUUUGUUACAUCACUGAAGCUUGAGUAAAUAAACCAAGACUCAUCACUGUUUUAUUUUGCAAUACCUCAGUGGGCUCCUCUCUGUACAAAUAAACACCAUUAAUGUU